GCAAGGAAUUUUCGUCAAUGGGCGCAAGCCUGAACGAGCAACGCCGCGUGGAGGAUGACGGCCUUCGGGUUGUAAACUCCUUUUGGGGGGGACGAUGAUGACGGUACCCCUUGAAUAAGGCUCGGCUAACUCUGUGCCAGCAGCCGCGGUAAUACAGAGGAGCCAAGCGUUGUCCGGAUUGACUGGGCGUAAAGCGCACGCAGGCGGAUGCGCGCGUGGGGGGUGAAAUCUGGCCACUUAACGGCCAGGCGCCAUCCCAUACGGCGCGUCUGGAGCCUUGCAGAGGGCGGUGGAAUUGCCGGUGUAGUGGUGAAAUGCGUAGAGAUCGGCAGGAACACCCAGGGGGAAACCAGCCGACUGGGCAAGUGCUGACGCUGAGGUGCGAGAGCGUGGGGAGCGAACCGGAUUAGAAACCCCGGUAGUCC
This 425-nucleotide ribosomal RNA is filed under the name uncultured bacterium. RNAcentral describes it as "partial 16S ribosomal RNA". It matches the Rfam family "Bacterial small subunit ribosomal RNA", at positions 354 to 796 of the family's 1533-position model. The record is from RNAcentral.